UAGUAGUAGUAGUAGUAGUAGUAGUAGUAGCAGUAGUAGUAGUAGUAGUAGUAGUAGUAUAGUAGUAGUAAGGGUAGUCAUAUAGUAGUAGUAGUAGUAAGGGUAGUCAUAUAGUAGUAGUAGUAGUAGUAGUAGUAGUAGUAGUAGUAAUAGUAGUAAGGGUAGUCAUAUAGUAGUAGUAGUAGUAGUAGUAGUAGUAUAGGUAGUCAUAUAGUAGUAGUAGUAGUAGUAGUAGUAGUAGUAGUAGUAGUAGUAGUAGGGUAGUCAUAUAGUAGUAGUAGUAGUAGUAGUAGUAGUAGUAGUAGUAGUAGUAGUAGUAGUAGUAGUAGUAGUAGUAGUAGUAGUAGUAGUAGGUAGUCAUAUAGUAGUAGUAGUAGUAGUAGUAGUAAGGGUAGUCAUAUAGUAGUAGUAGUAGUAAUUAGGAUGAUCAGAGUGAACUGUUAAUAUUUUGUUCAACAAUCUUUUUUUUUUUUUUUCAUUUAAUCCUGCCUUUCAGAAUCUAAAUAAGGUAUUUACAUGUCUCCCAGAAGACAAAAUACUAACAAUUUACACUGAUCAUCCUUUUCAAAAGUUUACACUCCCCUGG
Ictalurus punctatus (channel catfish) is the source of this 586-nucleotide long non-coding RNA. The record is from Ensembl. Lineage: Eukaryota; Metazoa; Chordata; Actinopteri; Siluriformes; Ictaluridae.